Long non-coding RNA from Scylla paramamosain (green mud crab), 1449 nucleotides. RefSeq lists it as uncharacterized. NCBI's taxonomy places the organism in Eukaryota, Metazoa, Arthropoda, Malacostraca, Decapoda, Portunidae. The record is from RefSeq and is a predicted model, not a curated record. The transcript is spliced from 4 exons.
UUUGGUGUGCAGCAAGAGGAGUCUGGCAGCCUUCACUCGAUCAUUGCGGCAGGCUCUGAGUUGUGGACCAUGACUACUGCACGGUGCAGCAAGUGGAGGUAGACUCAGAAAUUAUUUCUCCUGCCCCAAUUGUUGCUGAGAGUAUGUGCGGUACAAAAUUGAUAUUUCAUCACUCGAGAUCAGUAUCAAGGUGGUGGAGAAUCCACUUUUACCAAGCUGACUCCUGUGGAGGAAGCAGUGGUUGCCACACUGGAAGCUGAGGCAAUGGAAGUUCCGUCAGGUGCUCCAAAGACAGACGUUUCACCACAAGGGGCCAAGUGAUCUUCCACCUACUGUUGAGCUUGUGCUGGAGGAAGAUGUAGUGGUCCACAGCCCUGUCACCCUCUCUCUCUUGGGGCUUCCCGUGUGCCUUUCUCUGAAGUUCCCUCUUAGGCACACACAGUGGAUGGUGACACAGUUGAGGAACCUCAGCAGGAACCUCCAUCACCACCAAGGUGACGGAGAAUUCAAAUGGAAUAGCAGAGAUAUAACAGAGAGGGGAUAGCAUUGCAGAUGUUGCAAAUGCAAACAGACAUCUUAAUUUUUUGUACCAAAUGCGCAAUUCUUUGGACUGCCUUAGCAACACAUUUAAUACUUUUGUUAGGCUGUGGCAGGCUAAGCAAAAUGACAUUUAAGCAAGUUUCUUGUAGCCUUUUUACGUAUAUUUAUUGAUAAGUAGCUAAAAUCAAGAGGUGUUAAUAAUUAACCAUUUACUGAAGUAUAAUUAGCAUUAACUUUAGUCUUAAGAUAUAGCAAUUAUUUAUUUAAAUAUUUAAGUGUAAGGCAUAACUGUAAUUUAUAAUAUAAUUUUGCAAUUUUAUUCACAAUGUGAUUUACAUGUACCAAUAUUUAUAAGUGUUAAGGCUUUGUGAUAUACAAUAUGAUGUAUCUGAUAGCUUUCAAAUAUUUCACUGACUUGUCUGCAAGAACAAUUAAUGAACUAUCUCCGCUCAGGUUUUAGUUAUUUAGUCAUUUAGUCUAGUACACACACCUGAAUAGUGAUACAAUAUAGACAUCAUCAGCAUCAUUAUAAAAGAUGAUGGUGAUUAAAAAAAAAAAAUGUCGUUUAAAGAUUAUGCAGAAUAUCGUGUUUUCUUCCGUAUAUUCUUCUGUGCUGGAUAAAACAUAAGUGAUGUGAACUAGAAAUUAUUUGAAAUGUUACUAUAUGAUCUCACAGACUGUGAUACCUCGAGUUUUGGGUGAAACAUAAAUCUUCGUUACAAUUAUCCUAUGAUACUUUUUUUUUUCUAUUACCAUUGUAUUCUUUACCUCUGGCAUGCAUUUCAUGCAAAUAUCUUACUUAUCUAGGGCAAAAUAAAAAUUGUAGUUUUGUAUUAUACAAAGGAUAUAUUUUUAUUUUAUAAUAAAUAUUGUCAUUUGAUCAUACUUUAUCAUCUUCAUCAGUAAAUG